CACGCGCAGAGUCGCUGCUCGCGGCCCCCCCAGCUGAGGUGUGGAUGCGGCCAUUUCCCAUGAGGAGCUCUGGUUUGAGGUGCCCGGUGUGAGCCAGGUGCACAGCACCCUGUGAGCAAGUGGAGCUAGACUAAGCGCAAAGAAAAGGGAAAGGAGGGGCCACAGGGAGAUAAUUGGGAGAGGUGCAGCGUGGACGUUCACAGCAGCAGCCGUGUUGCAGCGCACACAUGUGGCUUGGCUACAGGCGCCCCUCAUCACCAGGAGACAGCAGCCAAGCUUGAACCUGCUCCACCAGCCCACCCAGCACUCUUUCAGCUUCUCCACCGCUUGGGCUAGUGUGUGUGUUGGCCCCACGACAAAGGCCUUGGCUUCUGCAGGACACCAUGCCAGCAACGUCCGAGACAAGAACUGUCCUGGAUCUCUGUCCAUCUUCCUGGACUCCAGCUUGGUCCAGCUGUCCUGUAAUUUACAUCCAUCUUCUCUUCCCAACUGCCCACCCUGUGGACUUUAAUCUAUAGCCCCAGAUUGGAUCCAUUUUUCAUCACGGAUUGCAAAGGGGUGAUAUUCUAGCUGUAGCAUUUCUUUUGCUGAAAUUUUUAGCUGAAAUUCCUGAGCUGCCAUCUAAACAGGCAAAGCACAGAAGCCAGCUGCUAUAUCAUGAGGAUGCUCAAGGAGCCCUGUGGAGAGAGGAGGUCCAUGUGGUGAGAAACAGAGGCCUCCUGCCAGCAACCACAUGAGGAAACCAUUGUGCAGGUGGAUUCUCUCACCUAGGCAAGCCUUCAGAGGACUGAAACUCAGGCCAGCUCAUGAGAUACCCUGAGCCAGAGACACCCAGCUAAGUCGCUCCUGGAUUCCUGACUCUUCGAACUCAUGAAUGUGGGAGGCAUGGACACGCACAUAUAUGAAUUGGCACCAUCUCAUUUCAUGACAGCAGCAAUCCUGUGAGUUGUAUUAGUCCCAAUUUUCACGUAAGGAAAAUGAGACCUGCUCAAAAUUACAAACUAAUAUACACGGCGAAGCCAGCAUACAAAGCCAGCAAACAAAACCAGCUUGGGCUGAUUCUAAAGCUGAGGUUCUCUCCUUCACUCCAUGCUAUAACUCUUGGAGGGGGAGUUGUGGGGGAGUUGUGGAGGUAGGAUGGGGGUGGUGGUGCAGUGUUUGAAGUGAAACGGAGUAAUAAAUACUUGUGACUUACUGUUAAGGGGAGAAAUAUAAAAUAGUGCAGCCACGGCUCAGCUCGUCCCUGCCCUUAACCUGUAAAGAUUGCCUGUUACUGGGUGAUGAGGUUUUUCCUGCAUAGGGCUAUUUGUUGUAGAGAAACUUUUAAAGCUGUAUCACUAAAUUGCAGUUACUGCUCCUGCUAUUAAGAUUUUCUGGACUUCCUAGGUGGCGCAGUGGUUAAGAAUCCGCCUGCCAAUGUAGGCGACACAGGUUCAAUUCCUGCCCCAGGAAGAUCCCACAUGCUGCUGAGCAACUAAGCCUGUGAGCCACAACUACUGAGCCCAUGUGCCACAAUUACUGAAGCCCACACACCUAGAGCCCAUGCUCAACAAGAGAAGCCACGGCAAUGAGGAGCCUGUGCACCACAACAAAGAGUAGCCCCCGUUCGCUGCAACUAGAGAAAGCCCGUGUGCAGCAAUGAAGACCCAACACAGCCAAUAAAAUAAAUAAGUAAAUGAAUAAUAAAUAAAAAAGAUUUGCUGCCCUGGGACUUCUCAGGCAGUCCAGUGGUUAAGGCUCUACGCUUUCAAUGCUGGGGGUGUGGGUUCAAUCCCUGGUUGGGGAACAAAGAUCCCACAUGCUGCGUGGUGGCCAAAAAUUAAAAAAAUUAAAAAAUUAAAAAUAAAAAAAAGAUUUUCUGCCCUGAAUGCCCCCAUACCACUGUACUCUUAAUUCAUCCUUCAAAAUGAGUUAAGCUCAUCAUCACCUCUCCUCUGAAUCCUCUCUUAGUGCUUUUCACGUGGUAUCCCUUCUCAUUCUUUCUGCAGCACCUGGGAAGGGAUUCAGGAUCAUCAGUUCUAAAGAAAGAACGAUCCCACUGCUAGCUGACCACACACCUACAUGGAGUCCAGAGCCUCCUGCCAAAGAUUUCCCAACUUUUCUCAUCGGUUUACUUCUGGACCGACUGAGUCAGUGAGUUGUGGGUGAGCAUCUGAAUGUGCCUUCUUCUUGUCUCUGUUCUCUCUUCCUCCCCUGUCCCCCCCAUUCUCCUCUACCUUGAUGUCCCCGCUGGCCUCUCCUCCAGGGCCCUGACUUUAUCCUGGAAACCAAAAGGGAGGAGGAGGAUGCUGACUGCUCUGGGUCCUGCGUGAGAUUCCUGUGCCUACUCGCAAUGCGGCACCCUCUAGGAUGGUCCUGCCCGGUUUCAGGCCCACAGUACAUGUGUGUUGAAUAAUAGGCAUAAAAAAUUGCCAAGGCUGUCUGGAUUCUCCAAGUGGAAAAUACACUGCAUUUGUACCUUUUUUUUGGUGUGGGGGAGGGGGAGGGGAGGUGGUUGCUGUUUGUAAUACUUCUGCCCUCUUAGUGUUGUUGAACCCAAGUCCAUGUGCCCAACGCACAGUGGGGGAGCCAGACAAAUGAAAACAUUGGAGUUUGGAGCAGAGAAAGGUUUAUUGCAAGGAGAAUGGGCCGCUCAGGGUCAAAAAGUCUAGACGCCCCGAUGUUUUUCCGAGAAGAGUUUUUAUAGGCAAAAUUUAGGGAGAGGGCUGCAGGCUGUGUAACUUCCCUGUGAUUGGUCGGUGGUGAGGUGAGGGUGGUGCUCCAGGAAUCUCAGUCAUCAGCCUUCUGGUUCCAACAAGUCUGGGGUCCGCGGCUUGCGCUCAGCCUGAAGUCACCAUCCUCCACCUGGGUGGGGGGUUAGUUCCUGCACAAGGACUCAGAGACAUGAAUCAGAUUGUUAGGCACAUUCCCGGAGGAGAAACCAGGACCGUGCCGCAUCCUGCACUGUUGCUUCUUUCUGCAUUCCCUCACUCCCCUCACUAGCAACUGUUUGAAUGUGCCUUUUGGAACUCAGGGAAGGUCUAGGAGGAUGAAAGCCUUUUUCCUACAGACAAGAAACAGGGGACACAGAAAUGCUCUUGUGCGGGGUUCGGGGGUGCCCACAGGGUCCUGCUCAGUUCCGUUAGCACGGCUUUGAGAUGCUGGCGCAGCGAACAUGUGUGGUUCUCCUUAUACAACGGCAUCCACUCCACCUUCAUCCUUCAAUAAGACAUAGGUUUUUCUUCAGGGUACCAAUCCUACUCCUCCUCUCUCAGCCCAUUUGGUUUGGGUGGGCUUGUUUUUGAGCUUGUUUGUGCCCUAAGCAGCAGCAAUGAGAAUAUUUUUUUAACAUUUUAUUUAUUUAGUUAGUUACUUAGUUAGUUAGUUAGUUUUGGCUGCAUCGGGUCUUCGUUGCUGUGUGCAGGCUUUCUCUAGUUGCUGCAAGCCGGGGCUUCGUUGCGGUGCACAGGCUUCUCAUUAGGAGCAGUGAGAAUAUUGCAUUCCCCUGACCACCUUGACCCCCUCCAGGUCAGUGAGUGUGACACGUGUGUCUGUGUGUGAACCGAAAAGCAGCAGUGCUCUCUACACUGUUGGAUAUAAACUAAGCUGGUUGGAUAUAAACCCAGGUUGGAUAUAAACUCAGAGUGGCCUGUGGCUGUCCUGCCACCCUAUAGGAAGGACCUAAUUGAGAAUAAAGUUCAAAAAAAGGAAAACACAGCAAGCGAUGGAGAGACUGGCGUCAACCGUGCCUGAAGCUAGGUACCCCCUUCAUCUUUUGAUUUUUUUGAGACAGUAAAUUUCCUUUGUUACUUAAGGCAAUUGACGUUGGGUUCUUAUUGCCUGCAACAAAAAGUCCUUUUAAUGCAGUUAUUAUUGCUAAUGAAGCCCUUGUCUCUUCACUCAAACCCCCCUGCCCAUGAGAGAUGAAAAGGGGAGAAAAUAAGGAGCUGAUGGGAGAAGGAAACCCUGCCUCAAUGUAAUCAUACUGUAACCACUUGUGUGCACGUCUGCACAAGCACCUGACAAGCGCCUGUCCCAAGAAUCUAGCACAGUGUGUAAACCACAGUUAAAGCUCAAAUCGCAUUGGGUGGGUGGGAUGAAUUGAGAGAUUGGGAUUGACAUGUAUACACUAAUACGUAUGAAAUAGAUAACAAAUAAGAACCUGCUGUAUAGCACAGGGAACUCCACUGUACAGUUCACUGUACAGUAAAAACUAACACAAUAUUGUAAAACAAAUAUACCCCAAUUUAAAAAAAAAAAGCUCAGAAAGUAUUUAUUGGUUAGAUAAACUUGACCUAUUCAUAGUUUUUAAGCUUUGGAGUCAAUUGGACCUGAUUGCCUCAUUUACUAACCAUGUACUUUUGGCCCAGUUACCUCACGUUUCCCAUCCUGAUUUCCUAGUCUGUCAAAUGAGCACAUGCAUAGCCCCACUUCACAUGUUGUUGGAUGGAUGACAUAAGGUCGUGUGUGCCGCAUAUCCCAUGGCAAAUAUCCAGUGACAUGCAACACCUUUAUUAUUAUGAAACAAACAAAAUAGAAUGAUGAGGGCCUAGACUUCCUCAUAUGUGUAUUUCUAUAAAAAGCUAUUUUUUAUAAUGGCAUUUUAAUGUAUUUUGGUUCAUCAUAUGAUUAUUUAUGUAUAGCCAUGUGAUCUUAGUUAAGUUACUUAACUUGUCUGAGCCUAGUUUACUUCAAUUGAGCAUGUGUCUGCUACCAGGCAUACUUGUUCUCGGGUUAAAUAAUGAAGGGCAUAUUACAAUGCCUAGCUGAGAUGUAAUAGGUGGAGUAGCAGCCUCUAAACUGGCCCUUCAUAAUCUCCACCCUCUGGUAUUCGUGCCUUGUUUGAAUUCUCUCCCUUCACAAACCCUGCAUAGAGUUCAGCAGAUUCGUUCUCUGCUUCUGUUCCCUGAUCUGCUCACUCUCAUCUUCUAACUUUUGUUCUCUGUUCCCCCGGCUGGAGCCUGCCCCAACGCCUGCUUGGCCACGUUUUAGAUAGCCCAGAGGCCCUUUUAAUGCAUGGCUUUCGUGAAGCCUUUUCUGGUCUCUCUACCUCUAUGCUUGCUGUUGAAAGUCAUCUUUUCUUCCCCUUGUACUUCAUAGCAGAUAUUCCUAUCUUUCUUAUGCCAUCUGUAUUUUUACAUUGUAUCAUAUCAAUUUUUAUCAUGUCUGAUCUCCUACAAUACUCAAAUUGUAGAUUUGAAAAGUUAAUGUCCCAUCCAUCUUUGCAACCCUGUAUGGUAUGCUAGGGCAUGAUGGCUUGUAAUAAUGGUGCUCAGUAAACAUUGGUUGAGAUAUUACUGUGAAAAAGUGUAUGAAUUAAUAAAUAGAUGAUCACAAAAAUAAUGAAAUUUAUGUUCCUAUUUCCUUCUUCUUGAAUAAUGACAUUUUCCACAUUUUCAAUAUAUCCCUGUUAAGUCAUCUUUCCAGGAUUCUAACAUUCAUUAGCAAAUUCAUGAGUAAGCUACCUUAAAGAAAAUUCCAAAUCAGCAAAAAGGAGCAUGUCUAUCCUAUUAGCAGGAUAGCAUUAUUAUUACUAUAAUGUUAAGGCAGUUCACAAUUUGUAUUAAUGAUUUAUCCAUUCAGUCAGUCAGUUAUUCAACAAGAAAUGUGUUUAUCACCUGAGAAGAGCACUAUGGAGGAGGAAAAAAGAAGGAUAAUGUGUGAUUCCUGCCCUUACAGCCCAGCUAGGAAAACCACAAACUAGUGAGAAGUUUACUAAGGCAAGGCG
Long non-coding RNA from Hippopotamus amphibius kiboko, 5707 nucleotides. RefSeq lists it as uncharacterized. NCBI's taxonomy places the organism in Eukaryota, Metazoa, Chordata, Mammalia, Artiodactyla, Hippopotamidae. The record is from RefSeq and is a predicted model, not a curated record. The transcript is spliced from 4 exons.